Molecule: transfer RNA, 76 nt
Filed under: Bacillota bacterium
Lineage: Bacteria; Bacillati; Bacillota
Also listed under: 3 other names
Description: tRNA-Ala(tgc)
Rfam family: tRNA
About the family: Transfer RNA (tRNA) molecules are approximately 80 nucleotides in length. Their secondary structure includes four short double-helical elements and three loops (D, anti-codon, and T loops). Further hydrogen bonds mediate the characteristic L-shaped molecular structure. tRNAs have two regions of fundamental functional importance: the anti-codon, which is responsible for specific mRNA codon recognition, and the 3' end, to which the tRNAs corresponding amino acid is attached (by aminoacyl-tRNA synthetases). tRNAs cope with the degeneracy of the genetic code in two manners: having more than one tRNA (with a specific anti-codon) for a particular amino acid; and 'wobble' base-pairing, i.e. permitting non-standard base-pairing at the 3rd anti-codon position.
Source: RNAcentral
GGGGUGUUAGCUCAGAUGGGAGAGCACCUGCUUUGCAAGCAGGGGGUCAUCGGUUCGAUCCCGAUACGCUCCACCA